Molecule: ribosomal RNA, 253 nt
Filed under: uncultured bacterium
Lineage: Bacteria
Description: partial 16S ribosomal RNA
Rfam family: Bacterial small subunit ribosomal RNA
Source: RNAcentral
UACGUAGGUGGCAAGCGUUGUCCGGAUUUACUGGGCGUAAAGAGCGCGCAGGCGGCCAAGUCAGUCGAAUGUGAAAGCCCCCGGCUCAACCGGGGAAUUGCGCCCUAAACUGACGAGCUGGAGUGAGAUAGGGGUGUGUGGAACUUCCGGUGGAGCGGUGAAAUGUGUUGAUAUCGGAAGGAACGCCGGUGGCGAAAGCGACACACUGGAUCUUGUCUGACGCUGAGGCACGAAAGCCAGGGGAGCGAACGGG